RNAcentral lists this unclassified non-coding RNA (315 nucleotides) under Cimex lectularius (bed bug). Its description in RNAcentral is "Eukaryotic large subunit ribosomal RNA". It matches the Rfam family "Eukaryotic large subunit ribosomal RNA", at positions 957 to 1282 of the family's 3401-position model. The record is from Rfam by way of RNAcentral. Lineage: Eukaryota; Metazoa; Arthropoda; Insecta; Hemiptera; Cimicidae.
CUCUCUGAAGUUUCCCUCAAGAUAGCUUGCGCUCGGUUGAGACGAGUCUCAUCCGGUAGAGCGAAUGAUUAGAGGCCUUGGGGUCGAAACGACCUCAACCUAUUCUCAAACUCCAAAUAGAUGAGAUCUCCGGCUUUCUUGAAAGUGAAGCCGCGGGAAUCGGAUCAGAGUGCAAAGUGGGCCAAUUUUGGUAAGCAGAACUGGCGCUGUGGGAUGAACCAAACGCAGAGUUAAGGCGCCUGAAUCGACGCUCAUGUGAACUUAAAUAAUAAAAGGGAGAUGAUUAUGAUGGUGAUGAAGAUACUAGGAAGAGGG